This is a non-coding RNA of Vicia faba (fava bean), 219 nucleotides long. NCBI's taxonomy places the organism in Eukaryota, Viridiplantae, Streptophyta, Magnoliopsida, Fabales, Fabaceae. The record is from the annotation of a GenBank genome assembly.
AUGAUGUCAUAUUCAUCUCAAUCACCCCCUGAUUAUUCUUCUACUCCAAUGGGAAAUGAAAAUAUUCCGAAUGUUGGACUUGAUAAAUUUCCUGAAUUUUCUACACAAAUGGCUCUUGGUGCCAUGACUGGUGGUCAAAGAGCCACUCUAAAUGCAGAGGAUUCAAAUCUUGUACGUCGGAAAAGUCCCAAAUGGACCACUGAUCAAAAUUGGUUCUAA